AGGUCACUUUUAGUUAUUUGAAACCAACACGGUUUGGAGAGUAAUUGUGUAAUUGAUGGAUGGACAAGUUUUAGAGCGUCUACAUACUUUUUCUCACUACAUCUUAUAAAUUAACAUACAAGCCCACCCAUAUAUGCUCUUGAUCAAUGAAUAAUGAAAAACAAAAACGAUAGAAAGAACAAAGGGAUAUUGAUCUAAAUAAAACCAGAAGAUCCAGAGAUUUAGGCUCAAAAUCCAACAAAACUUUACGGACUAGAUAAGAAUUAUUCGACAAUUAUGUGUUCCAUAAGUCCUCCAAAUCUCAACAAUAACCUCAGUUGCCCUAAACCUAAUAUAUAUCCAACUAAAGUUUUAAGUCCAAUAAGAAUAAGAACACAAACUCAAGAGCUUGUAAAAGAUUUAACUUUCACUCAUGUCAAUUCUUCCUGAGGUGAAAAGAACUUGGAUUUGACAGCAAAACUCGGUUAUAUUAAUCAAAAAAUCAAGGAUCAACUACAUUCAACUAUGUUCAGAUAUUCAAGUGCUUUUUAGAAGGUUUGACCAACAAUUUACUUAAAACCGUCAAUAUUCACUAAUCCACAUGAAUGAACUUCCAAUGUAAAGAACUUCAAAAACUUCUUUUGGCUUCUUGGCCAACUAUACGCGACGCCAAAUGUAAGGUUGAUUUGAAAACAUCUAACAAAUCCACCACAGAAGCAUUGGAAAUAAUUUUCUUUAAAAUUUGUACGGACAAUCUUCCUUGAAUUGUGCACAUGAUAAGUCCCCUUUUGAAACCUUUAUUUUCUCAAAUGGGCCAUUGCUUGAUCACCUUCCGCAAAUUCCUUGAAUUUAUGGUGAUGAUCCUAUGCAUGACUACUGAGGAUCGUUGGCUGCUCUGCCACUAACUAGUUGUUAGACAAGUUUUAACCAACAAAAUAAUAAAUUAGGUUUAAAGAACCAAGAGUCUCGGAAAAGAUCAAAGCAAAAACAAUAGAUUUGGUACUUUAGCCUCAAAACACAAUUAUAAUUACCGGAACUACAAAAUAAGAAAUUAAGAAUUGUUAUAGCAUUUUCAUUUAUAGGCUCUCUCUAUACCCUAAAGUUCCAAAUAUCCUCUUCAGUUGUAUUUAGAAAAUUAAAUCACUAGAAAAACUAAUGCUAUAGAAAACUAAAAGAUAAUACUAAAUUAAGAUUGCAAAUAAAGCCUAAUCUAUAACCCACUAAAGUACAAUUCUAAUAAGAAUACAAAUACAAAUACAAAUACAGCAAUGACAUGUAAAAUUUUAACUCUGGCUCAUGCAUUACUAAUACAUUAUUAAUUGCCAGUUCUAGCCACCAGAAUAUUCUGUUUUCAGGCAUCAGAUACUACUAAGCAUAUGCUAUCAAAUGUAACUUUGGCACCCCUCUUUUCACCACAUAAAG
This 1401-nucleotide long non-coding RNA is filed under the name Olea europaea (common olive). RNAcentral's name for it is "long non-coding RNA (OEUR_LNC012269)". The record is from RNAcentral. Lineage: Eukaryota; Viridiplantae; Streptophyta; Magnoliopsida; Lamiales; Oleaceae.